GCUAUACAUGCAAGUUGAGCGCUGAAGGUUGGUACUUGUACCGACUGGAUGAGCAGCGAACGGGUGAGUAACGCGUGGGGAAUCUGCCUUUGAGCGGGGGACAACAUUUGGAAACGAAUGCUAAUACCGCAUAAAAACUUUAAACACAAGUUUUAAGUUUGAAAGAUGCAAUUGCAUCACUCAAAGAUGAUCCCGCGUUGUAUUAGCUAGUUGGUGAGGUAAAGGCUCACCAAGGCGAUGAUACAUAGCCGACCUGAGAGGGUGAUCGGCCACAUUGGGACUGAGACACGGCCCAAACUCCUACGGGAGGCAGCAGUAGGGAAUCUUCGGCAAUGGACGAAAGUCUGACCGAGCAACGCCGCGUGAGUGAAGAAGGUUUUCGGAUCGUAAAACUCUGUUGGUAGAGAAGAACGUUGGUGAGAGUGGAAAGCUCAUCAAGUGACGGUAACUACCCAGAAAGGGACGGCUAACUACGUGCCAGCAGCCGCGGUAAUACGUAGGUCCCGAGCGUUGUCCGGAUUUAUUGGGCGUAAAGCGAGCGCAGGUGGUUUAUUAAGUCUGGUGUAAAAGGCAGUGGCUCAACCAUUGUAUGCAUUGGAAACUGGUAGACUUGAGUGCAGGAGAGGAGAGUGGAAUUCCAUGUGUAGCGGUGAAAUGCGUAGAUAUAUGGAGGAACACCGGUGGCGAAAGCGGCUCUCUGGCCUGUAACUGACACUGAGGCUCGAAAGCGUGGGGAGCAAACAGGAUUAGAUACCCUGGUAGUCCACGCCGUAAACGAUGAGUGCUAGAUGUAGGGAGCUAUAAGUUCUCUGUAUCGCAGCUAACGCAAUAAGCACUCCGCCUGGGAGUACGACCGCAAGGUUGAAACUCAAAGGAAUUGACGGGGGCCCGCACAGCGGUGGAGCAUGUGUUUAAUUCGAAGCAACGCGAAAACCU
Molecule: ribosomal RNA, 936 nt
Filed under: Lactococcus lactis
Lineage: Bacteria; Bacillati; Bacillota; Bacilli; Lactobacillales; Streptococcaceae
Description: bacterial SSU rRNA
Rfam family: Bacterial small subunit ribosomal RNA
Source: RNAcentral